GAUGAACGCUGGCGGCGUGCCUAAUACAUGCAAGUCGAGCGAACAGAUAAGGAGCUUGCUCCUUUGACGUUAGCGGCGGACGGGUGAGUAACACGUGGAUAACCUACCUAUAAGACUGGGAUAACUUCGGGAAACCGGAGCUAAUACCGGAUAACAUAUUGAACCGCAUGGUUCAAUAGUGAAAGGCGGCUUUGCUGUCACUUAUAGAUGGAUCCGCGCCGUAUUAGCUAGUUGGUAAGGUAACGGCUUACCAAGGCAACGAUACGUAGCCGACCUGAGAGGGUGAUCGGCCACACUGGAACUGAGACACGGUCCAGACUCCUACGGGAGGCAGCAGUAGGGAAUCUUCCGCAAUGGGCGAAAGCCUGACGGAGCAACGCCGCGUGAGUGAUGAAGGUCUUCGGAUCGUNAAACUCUGUUAUCAGGGAAGAACAAAUGUGUAAGUAACUGUGCACAUCUUGACGGUACCUGAUCAGAAAGCCACGGCUAACUACGUGCCAGCAGCCGCGGUAAUACGUAGGUGGCAAGCGUUAUCCGGAAUUAUUGGGCGUAAAGCGCGCGUAGGCGGUUUUUUAGUCUGAUGUGAAAGCCCACGGCUCAACCGUGGAGGGUCAUUGGAAACUGGAAAACUUGAGUGCAAAAGAGGAAGGUGGAAUUCCAUGUGUAGCGGUGAAAUGCGCAGAGAUAUGGAGGAACACCAGUGGGGAAGGCGACUUUCUGGUCUGUAACUGACGCUGAUGUGCGAAAGCGUGGGGAUCAAACGAGGAUUAGAUACCCUGGUAGUCCACGCCGUAAACGAUGAGUGCUAAGUGUUAGGGGGUUUCCGCCCCUUAGUGCUGCAGCUAACGCAUUAAGCACUCCGCCUGGGGAGUACGACCGCAAGGUUGAAACUCAAAGGAAUUGACGGGGACCCGCACAAGCGGUGGAGCAUGUGGUUUAAUUCGAAGCAACGCGAAGAACCUUACCAAAUCUUGACAUCCUUUGGCCGCUCUAGAGAUAGAGUCUUCCCCUUCGGGGGACAAAGUGACAGGUGGUGCAUGGUUGUCGUCAGCUCGUGUCGUGAGAUGUUGGGUUAAGUCCCGCAACGAGCGCAACCCUUAAGCUUAGUUGCCAUCAUUAAGUUGGGCACUCUAAGUUGACUGCCGGUGACAAACCGGAGGAAGGUGGGGAUGACGUCAAAUCAUCAUGCCCCUUAUGAUUUGGGCUACACACGUGCUACAAUGGACAAUACAAAGGGCAGCUAAACCGCGAGGUCAAGCAAAUCCCAUAAAGUUGUUCUCAGUUCGGAUUGUAGUCUGCAACUCGACUACAUGAAGCUGGAAUCGCUAGUAAUCGUAGAUCAGCAUGCUACGGUGAAUACGUUCCCGGGUCU
RNAcentral lists this ribosomal RNA (1372 nucleotides) under uncultured bacterium. Its description in RNAcentral is "bacterial SSU rRNA". It matches the Rfam family "Bacterial small subunit ribosomal RNA", at positions 28 to 1381 of the family's 1533-position model. The record is from RNAcentral.